The sequence is a ribosomal RNA, 437 nucleotides long. It matches the Rfam family "Bacterial small subunit ribosomal RNA", at positions 341 to 792 of the family's 1533-position model.
ACGGGAGGCAGCAGUGGGGAAUAUUGGGCAAUGGGCGAAAGCCUGACCCAGCGACGCCGCGUGAGGGAAGAAGAUCUUCGGAUUGUAAACCUUUGUCAACAGGGACGAAGCAAGUGACGGUACCUGUGGAGGAAGCCACGGCUAACUACGUGCCAGCAGCCGCGGUAAUACGUAGGUGGCGAGCGUUAUCCGGAUUUACUGGGUGUAAAGGGUGUGUAGGCGGGGAGGCAAGUCAGAUGUGAAAACUAUGGGCUCAACCCAUAAAGUGCAUUUGAAACUGUUUCUCUUGAGUGUCGGAGGGGUAAAUGGAAUUCCCAGUGUAGCGGUGAAAUGCGUAGAUAUUGGGAGGAACACCAGUGGCGAAGGCGAUUUACUGGACGACAACUGACGCUGAGACACGAAAGCGUGGGGAGCAAACAGGAUUAGAUACCCUGGUA